AGCUCCAAUAGCGUAUAUUUAAGUUGUUGCAGUUAAAAAGCUCGUAGUUGGAUUUCGGGCCCGGGCGACCGGUCCGCCGUUUCGGUGUGCACUGGUCGGCCUGGUCUUUCUGCCGGGGACCCGCUCUGGACUUAAUUGGCUGGACGGGGAGUCGGCAACGUUACUUUGAAAAAAUUAGAGUGUUCAAGGCAGGCUUAUGCUCUGAAUAUUAUAGCAUGGAAUAACACGAUAGGACUCCGAGCCUAUUUUGUUGGUCUUCGGGACCGGAGUAAUGAUUAAGAGGGACAGUUGGGGGCAUUCGUAUUCCGAUGUCAGAGGUGAAAUUCUUGGAUUAUCGGAAGACGGACUUCUGCGAAAGCAUUUGCCAAGGAUGUUUUCAUUAAUCAAGAACGAAAGUAGG
Molecule: ribosomal RNA, 400 nt
Filed under: phytoplankton environmental sample
Lineage: Eukaryota
Description: partial small subunit ribosomal RNA
Rfam family: Eukaryotic small subunit ribosomal RNA
Source: RNAcentral